This 274-nucleotide ribosomal RNA is filed under the name uncultured bacterium. RNAcentral's name for it is "partial 16S ribosomal RNA". It matches the Rfam family "Bacterial small subunit ribosomal RNA", at positions 523 to 796 of the family's 1533-position model. The record is from RNAcentral.
AUACGAAAGGUGCAAGCGUUGUUCGGAUUUACUGGGCGUAAAGAGAGUGUAGGUGGUUUAUUAAGUCGGAUGUGAAAUCCCGGGGCUCAACCUCGGAACUGCAUUCGAUACUGAUAGGCUAGAGUUUGGGAGGGGUAAGCGGAAUUCCGUGUGUAGCAGUGAAAUGCGUAGAUAUACGGAGGAACACCUGAGGCGAAGGCGGCUUACUGGACCAAUACUGACACUGAGACUCGAAAGCGUGGGUAGCAAGCAGGAUUAGAAACCCGAGUAGUCC